UUAGAGAUCCCUAUUUAAGUUGUCUCCCUUGUGAGGGACAAUAAUUCUUAUUAUAAUGGAGAGCUAGCAGAAAGAGCAAAAAUACCUGUGCGUAAUGUGAGUAAUCUUUAAGGUUUUCAAAUCGUUUAAUUACAUUAAUUUGUUGUUCAGCUUAAUACUUUUAACAUCAGAAAUCAUGAAAAGUUAGUUAAACCGCCGAUACAUCACUUUCAAUUCAUCAUGCUUUGCAUUGGCAAUAACCAAUUUUGUCCUGUAUAGAACCAGUCUACAAG
RNAcentral lists this long non-coding RNA (272 nucleotides) under Mytilus galloprovincialis (Mediterranean mussel). Lineage: Eukaryota; Metazoa; Mollusca; Bivalvia; Mytilida; Mytilidae. The record is from RNAcentral.